Long non-coding RNA from Arachis duranensis, 1034 nucleotides. RefSeq lists it as uncharacterized. The record is from RefSeq and is a predicted model, not a curated record. The transcript is spliced from 3 exons. Lineage: Eukaryota; Viridiplantae; Streptophyta; Magnoliopsida; Fabales; Fabaceae.
UGACGUUGUUCUCUUAGAUGGCCUCUGCGUCGAUCUCCGAUCCUCUUGCGUUCUUCGACGAUCUUCUCCGGUGAAAUCUCCUCCGACAUCGAUCUCCAUCGAUGACAUCUCCUACAGCGGCGAUUUUCUUCGGUGACGUCUCCUCCAGCUCUCUCCUUGUUGUCCUCUGUGUCUUCUCUACCAAAAUCGUCAAUGCCUUCCUCUACGACGAUCCAGAUCCGCCGCUAGGGAUUGCGUUUCACAGGAGAGGAAUUCCUUUGUCAACUUCCAAGCCAAAACCGGUGUAGAGGCUCCCAUUGUGAAUUCACAGACCCUUGAAGAAGUUGGAAGACUUAAAAAGGUCCUUGCUUUUCUAGAUCUGAUGUUCACUUGUUCAAUUUUGAUUUUUGCUCUUUGCUGUUUAUUUCUUAGAUGACCCUUUUUUCUGAUUGCUCAUUUUUGUAAAGAGAAUCUGUUGUCCUUUGUAUUCCUCCUCUGGUAUCUAAUUUUCUCUUUAAUCCCAAAACAAAAAAAUCAUUGAGAUUAUCAUGAACAUCAGACCAUGAUUUUUAAAGUUAAUAAUAAAAUGAGAUAUCAAAUGACCUGUUAUUUUAACCAUUUGCUAGCCUUAAAAGUUUUUAGACAGAAUCUUUAUUCGUAAAAAGAAGAAAAACUAUUUAGUUCUUGCUACCAAGGUAAGCUCAAUAGCUCCCCUAAACUUGAGUAUAUAUUUUUAGGUGAAGCAUAAUGCUUUCUAGAAAAUGAAAGAAAACUAUUUUAGAUUCUUGAUAAAGGGUAAUCAAAAUUGAUAGUUCUCCUAAACUUGCGAAGCACACAAUUAUAGGAAGCCUUAUUAUGAUAUUUCCUUUGGAUGUUAUCUUCAUUGAGAAUUUCUUUUCAUCUAAUUUCAAUUUCUUAUCUAUGGUUAAAAAUUGAUGCUAAUGCAACACAUUUGAUUUGGUGAUAUGGUUAAAAAUUGAUUUUGUUGUUUUCAUAUUAGAGAAAAUUCUUAAUCUAGGAGAAAUUCAAUGAAUCUGUAAUUGAUAUACUGUUUU